RNAcentral lists this ribosomal RNA (370 nucleotides) under Achromobacter sp. GM7. Its description in RNAcentral is "bacterial SSU rRNA". It matches the Rfam family "Bacterial small subunit ribosomal RNA", at positions 992 to 1366 of the family's 1533-position model. The record is from RNAcentral. Lineage: Bacteria; Pseudomonadati; Pseudomonadota; Betaproteobacteria; Burkholderiales; Alcaligenaceae.
GGAAUGCCGAAGAGAUUUGGCAGUGCUCGCAAGAGAACCGGAACACAGGUGCUGCAUGGCUGUCGUCAGCUCGUGUCGUGAGAUGUUGGGUUAAGUCCCGCAACGAGCGCAACCCUUGUCAUUAGUUGCUACGAAAGGGCACUCUAAUGAGACUGCCGGUGACAAACCGGAGGAAGGUGGGGAUGACGUCAAGUCCUCAUGGCCCUUAUGGGUAGGGCUUCACACGUCAUACAAUGGUCGGGACAGAGGGUCGCCAACCCGCGAGGGGGAGCCAAUCCCAGAAACCCGAUCGUAGUCCGGAUCGCAGUCUGCAACUCGACUGCGUGAAGUCGGAAUCGCUAGUAAUCGCGGAUCAGCAUGUCGCGGUGAA